Molecule: transfer RNA, 71 nt
Filed under: Planctomyces sp.
Lineage: Bacteria; Pseudomonadati; Planctomycetota; Planctomycetia; Planctomycetales; Planctomycetaceae
Description: tRNA-Val
Rfam family: tRNA
About the family: Transfer RNA (tRNA) molecules are approximately 80 nucleotides in length. Their secondary structure includes four short double-helical elements and three loops (D, anti-codon, and T loops).
Source: RNAcentral
GAUCCCGUGGUCCAACGGUAUGACACCAACCCCACAUGCUGGCGACGAUGGUUCGACUCCAUCCGGGAUCA